GACGAACGCUGGCGGCGUGCUUAACACAUGCAAGUCGAACGGAAAGGCCCUGCUUUUGUGGGGUGCUCGAGUGGCGAACGGGUGAGUAACACGUGAGUAACCUGCCCUUGACUUUGGGAUAACUUCAGGAAACUGGGGCUAAUACCGGAUAGGAGCUCCUGCUGCAUGGUGGGGGUUGGAAAGUUUCGGCGGUUGGGGAUGGACUCGCGGCUUAUCAGCUUGUUGGUGGGGUAGUGGCUUACCAAGGCUUUGACGGGUAGCCGGCCUGAGAGGGUGACCGGCCACAUUGGGACUGAGAUACGGCCCAGACUCCUACGGGAGGCAGCGGUGGGGAAUAUUGCACAAUGGGCGGGAGCCUGGUGCAGCAACGCCGCGUGCGGGAUGACGGCCUUCGGGUUGUAAACCGCUUUCGCCUGUGACGAAGCGUGAGUGACGGUAAUGGGUAAAGAAGCACCGGCUAACUACGUG
This 468-nucleotide ribosomal RNA is filed under the name uncultured bacterium. Its description in RNAcentral is "partial 16S ribosomal RNA". It matches the Rfam family "Bacterial small subunit ribosomal RNA", at positions 28 to 507 of the family's 1533-position model. The record is from RNAcentral.